GGGUGAUUACUCAUUGGGAGAAAGCAAUCUCCCUUGCCAAAGUGAGAGGUCGGCGGUUCGAUCCCGUCAUCACCCACCA
RNAcentral lists this transfer RNA (79 nucleotides) under Salmonella enterica subsp. enterica. RNAcentral describes it as "tRNA-OTHER". The record is from RNAcentral. Lineage: Bacteria; Pseudomonadati; Pseudomonadota; Gammaproteobacteria; Enterobacterales; Enterobacteriaceae.